Molecule: long non-coding RNA, 250 nt
Filed under: Elaeis guineensis (African oil palm)
Lineage: Eukaryota; Viridiplantae; Streptophyta; Magnoliopsida; Arecales; Arecaceae
Description: long non-coding RNA (EGUI_LNC003135)
Source: RNAcentral
UUGUUCUCCUCAAUGGGCUAAUGCUAAGGCAGCUCUUCAGACACUCAAACUUGUCGCUCCCGAAUAUACUUUCGAAGGUAGCCUCUUUAAAUUAGGACUUCAAUCUCAUCCUUAAGUUAGAGACAUUUCUUGAUGCCGUGACCAUGGUCAUGAUGGAAGUGACUGUAUUUCUCUUUGCUUUUCUUUAUUAGUGGGCCCUUCAUCGAUUGGGGUCGGCAGUGAUAGCUCUGGCCCUUAAUUUUUGAGCCCG